Molecule: long non-coding RNA, 245 nt
Filed under: Vigna radiata
Lineage: Eukaryota; Viridiplantae; Streptophyta; Magnoliopsida; Fabales; Fabaceae
Description: long non-coding RNA (VRAD_LNC002398)
Source: RNAcentral
GGAAUUGUCUUUGCCUUCCUUCAAUUCUUGAAGACAGGCUUUACUUACUUUCCUUCAACAUAAGGUGAAAAAAUUGGUCGGAAAACAACUCCGUUUCUUUCUUCUGCACAUGCUUUAUCCUUAAACUGCUGCGGCAAUUUGAAAAAAUCGCUGCCGAAAGUGUAUGCAAAUUUUUAAAUUGAGGUCAAUUUCAUCUUUUUAGAGAAGAUCCUUAGGUAUAAUGGCGGUCAUUUUCUGUCCCCUCC